Molecule: ribosomal RNA, 497 nt
Filed under: uncultured bacterium
Lineage: Bacteria
Description: partial 16S ribosomal RNA
Rfam family: Bacterial small subunit ribosomal RNA
Source: RNAcentral
ACUCAAAUGAAUAGACGGGGGCCCGCACAAGCGGUGGAGCAUGUGGUUUAAUUCGACGCAACGCGAAGAACCUUACCCAGGCUCGAACGGCAGAUGACAUCCGAUGAAAAUCGGCUCCCGCAAGGGCAUCUGUCGAGGUGCUGCAUGGCUGUCGUCAGCUCGUGUCGUGAGAUGUUGGGUUAAGUCCCGCAACGAGCGCAACCCUUGUCCGCUGUUGCCAUCAGGUUAUGCUGGGCACUCUGCGGAGACUGCCGGUGAUAAACCGGAGGAAGGUGGGGAUGACGUCAAGUCAGCAUGGCCUUUAUGUCUGGGGCUACACACGUGCUACAAUGGCCGGUACAAACCGUCGCGAGCCCGCAAGGGGGAGCUAAUCGGAGAAAGCCGGUCUCAGUUCGGAUUGCAGGCUGCAACUCGCCUGCAUGAAGUUGGAAUCGCUAGUAAUCGCGGAUCAGCACGCCGCGGUGAAUACGUUCCCGGGCCUUGCACACACCGCCCGU